AUUGAACGCUGGCGGCAUGCUUUACACAUGCAAGUCGAACGGCAGCGCGGGGCAACCUGGCGGCGAGUGGCGAACGGGUGAGUAAUAUAUCGGAACGUACCCAAGAGUGGGGGAUAACGUAGCGAAAGUUACGCUAAUACCGCAUACGAUCCAAGGAUGAAAGCAGGGGACCGCAAGGCCUUGUGCUCCUGGAGCGGCCGAUAUCUGAUUAGCUAGUUGGUAGGGUAAAGGCCUACCAAGGCUACGAUCAGUAGCUGGUCUGAGAGGACGACCAGCCACACUGGAACUGAGACACGGUCCAGACUCCUACGGGAGGCAGCAGUGGGGAAUUUUGGACAAUGGGCGCAAGCCUGAUCCAGCAAUGCCGCGUGAGUGAAGAAGGCCU
This 385-nucleotide ribosomal RNA is filed under the name uncultured bacterium. RNAcentral's name for it is "bacterial SSU rRNA". It matches the Rfam family "Bacterial small subunit ribosomal RNA", at positions 30 to 417 of the family's 1533-position model. The record is from RNAcentral.